RNAcentral lists this ribosomal RNA (215 nucleotides) under Glomeromycotina sp. RNAcentral describes it as "partial small subunit ribosomal RNA". The stretch from base 40 to 215 matches the Rfam family "Eukaryotic small subunit ribosomal RNA", at positions 686 to 864 of the family's 1831-position model. Lineage: Eukaryota; Fungi; Glomeromycota. The record is from RNAcentral.
GGGUCAGUAGGUUGGUCGUGCCACCGGUACGUACUGGUCUCACUGAUUCCUCCUUCCUGAAGAACCGUAAUGCCAUUAAUUUGGUGUUGCGGGGAAAUAGGACUGUUACUUUGAAAAAUUAGAGUGUUUAAAGCAAGCUAACGCUUGAAUACAUUAGCAUGGAAUAAUGAAAUAGGACGAUCGAUCCUAUUUUGUUGGUUUCUAGGAUUGACGUA